Molecule: ribosomal RNA, 492 nt
Filed under: uncultured bacterium
Lineage: Bacteria
Description: partial 16S ribosomal RNA
Rfam family: Bacterial small subunit ribosomal RNA
Source: RNAcentral
AGUGAACGCUGGCGGUAGGCCUAACACAUGCAAGUCGAACGGUAGCACAGUAAGAGCUUGCUCUUACGGGUGGCGAGUGGCGGACGGGUGAGGAAUACAUCGGAAUCUACUUUUUCGUGGGGGAUAACGUAGGGAAACUUACGCUAAUACCGCAUACGACCUACGGGUGAAAGCAGGGGAUCUUCGGACCUUGCGCGAUUGAAUGAGUCGAUGUCGGAUUAGCUAGUUGGCGGGGUAAAGGCCCACCAAGGCGACGAUCCGUAGCUGGUCUGAGAGGAUGAUCAGCCACACUGGAACUGAGACACGGUCCAGACUCCUACGGGAGGCAGCAGUGGGGAAUAUUGGACAAUGGGCGCAAGCCUGAUCCAGCCAUACCGCGUGGGCGAAGAAGGCCUUCGGGUUGUAAAGCCCUUUUGUUGGGAAAGAAAAGCAGCAGGUUAAUACCCCGCUGUUCUGACGGUACCCAAAGAAUAAGCACCGGCUAACUUCGUG